AGGCGCGUAGCUCAGUUGGUUAGAGCGCUUGCUCGACACGCAAGAGGUCAGCGGUUCGAAUCCGCUCGUGCCUACCA
RNAcentral lists this transfer RNA (77 nucleotides) under Pseudomonadota bacterium. RNAcentral describes it as "Proteobacteria bacterium tRNA-Val". It matches the Rfam family "tRNA". From Rfam's summary of the family: Transfer RNA (tRNA) molecules are approximately 80 nucleotides in length. Their secondary structure includes four short double-helical elements and three loops (D, anti-codon, and T loops). Further hydrogen bonds mediate the characteristic L-shaped molecular structure. tRNAs have two regions of fundamental functional importance: the anti-codon, which is responsible for specific mRNA codon recognition, and the 3' end, to which the tRNAs corresponding amino acid is attached (by aminoacyl-tRNA synthetases). tRNAs cope with the degeneracy of the genetic code in two manners: having more than one tRNA (with a specific anti-codon) for a particular amino acid; and 'wobble' base-pairing, i.e. permitting non-standard base-pairing at the 3rd anti-codon position. Lineage: Bacteria; Pseudomonadati; Pseudomonadota. The record is from RNAcentral. RNAcentral also lists the same sequence under 1 other name.